GGGAAGGUGGCUCAGUGGUAGAGCACUUGCCUUGCAUACUUGAGGCCCUGGGUUCGAUUCCUCAGCCCCA
RNAcentral lists this transfer RNA (70 nucleotides) under Dipodomys ordii (Ord's kangaroo rat). It matches the Rfam family "tRNA". Rfam says of the family: Transfer RNA (tRNA) molecules are approximately 80 nucleotides in length. The record is from Rfam by way of RNAcentral. Lineage: Eukaryota; Metazoa; Chordata; Mammalia; Rodentia; Heteromyidae.